This 97-nucleotide transfer RNA is filed under the name Actinoplanes octamycinicus. RNAcentral's name for it is "tRNA-Val". The record is from RNAcentral. Lineage: Bacteria; Bacillati; Actinomycetota; Actinomycetes; Micromonosporales; Micromonosporaceae.
CUUGACCAUGGUGUAGACGGCGGUGCUCUUCGCGUUGACGCCGUCGGUGUUGUAGUCGUUGUAGCAGAGUUUGGCGUUCGGGUCGGCGGCCCGGGCC